Non-coding RNA from Paramuricea clavata, 3325 nucleotides. The record is from the annotation of a GenBank genome assembly. Lineage: Eukaryota; Metazoa; Cnidaria; Anthozoa; Malacalcyonacea; Plexauridae.
GUUGUAUGGUAAAAGUGCAUCUUGUAAAAGGUUGUCAAUGUUAGUAUCAGGAUUGUCUGUUCCAUGAUAAACAAUCUCCCCCUGAGUAUUCCAAGUUAAAAUAUCGCUUGAUAUAAGAAAAGAAUGUAGAAUUUUUUCUGCUGUAGGUUUUUUGACAUUAUUGUUGAGAUACAAAAGUACAUCCUGAAUGCGCCAAUGUCGCAGAGAUGUUUUAGCGUCGAGGUUCAUUGUUGAGAUGAUGUAUAAAUUUCAGUCACAGGGCUUUUGUACAAGUUCAGCCAGGCUUUCCAAAAUAGGACUUAGUAAUAGUCCAAGGAAACCGUUACUAUGUUGAACGAGUAUUUGUUUUUUAAUUUUCUUCUUCCAUGUUUUCCUCUAUCUACCAACUUAAGCAUUUCAUGUACGUUUGUAAGGUUGGAGUUUCUUCAUUACAUACUUCGGCAUUAAAUAUUUUCUUUUCAUAAAAUUUUCUGCACAAAGACACAGGCAGUGUUCUUGCGCGGCGGUUGCUGUUUCCAGUAGCGCUUGUUGUUGAUCAGGCUCAGACGUGCCCAGCAGUUCAAGAAAUGGCUUGUGCCUUAGUAGUUUGAUCAUUUCUGUUCGAAAGCUUGGAAGCAAAUGAGUAAAACAGGAUAAAAAGGUGGCUUAUAUUGGAAGAGAAAAAGAGAAGUAUCAGGUGAAAAGCUAUUUGGACUAAGCUCCAAGAUGAUUUAGACUAGGCUCCGAGUUAUUGAGAGCUCGGCUCCGAGCCUAUCGAACUUGCCGAGCCUAUCGAACGUUAACUCCUAGCUGUAGACUCAGACUUCGGGCUCUAGAAUCAGACUCCUAGUUUUAUAGAGUCAGACUCCUAGCUAUUGAAUAAUAUCGUAAGAUGACGGAUCAUAAAAUCCACUUUGUUGCCUUUAUCUUCCUUAAUAUAUACUUAUAAUUUCCAAUACCGUCUUCAUAUAAAGGAAGAUAAAGAUAAGGUUUAGGACAAGAAAGAUAAGGAAGAUACAAAGAUAAAGAUAAGGAAGAUAAGAAGAUAAAGAUAAGGACAAGGAUAAGGAAGAAGAUGAGGAAGAUAAAGAUAAGGAAAAUAACGAUAAGGAAGAUAAGAAGAUAAAGAUAAGGAAGAUAAGAAGAUAAAGAUAAGGAAGAUAAGAAGAUAAAGAUAAGGAUAAGGAUAAGGAAGAAGAUAAGGAAGAUAACGAUAAGGAAGAUCAGAAGAAAAAGAUAAGGAAGAUAAGAAAAUGAAGAUAAGGAUAAGGAAGAAGAUAAGGAAGAUAACGAUAAGGAAGGUAAUAAGAUAAAUAUAAGGAAGAUAACAAGAUAAAGAUAAGGAUAAGGAAGAAGAAAAGGAAGAUCACGAUAAGGAAGGUAAGAAGAUAACGAUAAGGAAGAUAAGAAGAUAAAGAUAAGGAAAAUAAGAAGAUAAAGAAGAUAAGAAGAUAAAGAUAAGGAUAAGGAAGAAGAUAAGGAAGAUAAAGAUAAGGAAGAUAAGAAGAUAAAGAUAAGGAAGAUAAGAAGGUAAGGAAGAUAAGAAGAUAAAGAUAAGGAUAAGGAAGAAGAAAAGGAAGAUCACAAUAAGGAAGAUAAGAAGAUAACGAUAAGGAAGAUAAGAAGAUAAAGAUAAGGAAAAUAAGAAGAUAAAGAUAAGGAAGAUAAGAAGAAAAGGAUAAGGAUAGGGAAGAAGAUAAGGAAGAUAACGAUAAAGAAGAUAAGAAGAUAACGAUAAGGAAGAUAAGAAGAUAACAAUAAGGAUAAGGAUAAGGAAGAUAACGAUAAGGAAGAUAAGAAGAUAAAGAUAAGGAAGAUAAGGAUAAGGAAGGAAGAAGAUAAAGAUAGAGAUAAGCAAGAUAAUUAUAAGGAAGAUAAAGAUAAGGAAGACAAGGAAAAAUACUGGAUAGAUGCAUAAAUGAAUAUAUAGAACGAACACACCAAAUUAUUAUCAGUUACAGCUAAACGUUCGUGGUGCGAACAUGUCCUUUCCGUGCAAUAUAUGUGCCAAAGUAUUUUCAACACGCGGCAACCUCAAGCGUCAUACUUUGAAUACCCAUGGAAAUGUUCAAAGCAAACCAGUUAAAAUCUCCGCAGGAUCUGCAGUUUUGCAACACCCAUUUACAUGCAUCGUUGAAGGAUGUACCCAAAGCGGCAAGACUGUAUGGCUGAAAUCUCUCUUGGAGAAAAAACUAUAAGUCCAUCUCCUCAACGUAUCAUCUGGUGUUAUGGUCAGUAGCAACCAUCCUAUUUUGACAUGCUGAAAACAAUGCCAAUGCCUGGAAUCGAGUUUAAUAAAGGCAUCCCCGACGAUGUCGACAAAGUGGAUUACUUGGACAUAUCUCAACGGAAUUUAAUCAUUCUAGACGAUCUUAUGGCACAAUCUGGUAAAGACAAUUAGACAAACGUAUAGCUGAUCUUUUUGCGAAAGGAAGUCAUCACCGAAAUUUGUCUAUUAUCUAUAUUGUUCAAAAUGUAUUUCAUCAGGUCAAAGAGAUGAGAAAUAUCAGCCUUAACGCUCACUAUAUUGUGCUGUUCAAGUCACCAAGAAAUAAACAGCAAAUUUCUAUGCUUGCAAGGCAAAUAAAUCCCGGAAGAGUGCAAGAAUGUUUGACGAGUUACGAAGAUGCUACAUUGCUACGAGCCAACCUCAUGGAUAUUUGAUGUUAGAUUUAAAGCCAACAACAAAUGAUCAAUGUCGACUUAAGAUCAACAUACUACCGGGAGAGAUUGCAAAGUUUUUACACAAACAGUCGGAUCAUCAACCACCGCUUGUAAAUGCAAUGUAUGAUGCCGAACAGAGAAAUGAGAGAAUGAAAGAAAUCAUGGAAGUACCACAACUUCCCGCCGUGGAAAAAAGCAAGUUAUAUUCUGAUCAACUAAGUCGGUUUCUCAUAUUCAAAAAUAAGAUGGAUAUUCCAGUUUCUCAUUCCAGUCACGAAGCCCCUGUUCAGAGAACUCCACUAGUGUCUGCUACUCGUGUUUCUGCUCGGAUACCACCACAAGUGCCUCAUACUCCUGUACCAUCGGAAAUACCACCACCAGUGCCUGCUACUCCUAAACCAAAUUUCCUUACACCGCCAUCAACAUAAGAGGAACGACCAAAACUCAAGCGCAACUUUUUCCACAAUUGGGUAGACCCAGCAGAUUGGACCGAACGUGACCUAGCACGAAUGACUCUGGAAGCAAGAGAGGAUUAUGAACGUGUUAUAUUGAGCGACAGACCAAAAUAUAUUCCAAAACAAAAAUAACGAUAUAACAAAAACACCCAAACGUUAUGCUCUCAGAAGUAGACCUUACUAAAUUUUGUAAAACGUUUUGAAGAAAUAAAUGUAUUUUAAAACUG